This 234-nucleotide long non-coding RNA is filed under the name Nicotiana benthamiana. Its description in RNAcentral is "long non-coding RNA (NBEN_LNC018488)". Lineage: Eukaryota; Viridiplantae; Streptophyta; Magnoliopsida; Solanales; Solanaceae. The record is from RNAcentral.
AUUAUUUAUUUACUUGUUUAAAUUCAAUAAAGUUUAAUUUUAAAUAGAUCAUGUGUUGGUUUGUGCGUCCAUUGCUUACAUAGUAAAUGAUUUAGUGUAUAGAGUUUAGCUUAUACACGGAAGAUUAAAUCAUCUGUUCUUGUAAGACAUAAAAGUUAAUGUUCACAAUCUAAUGAUGGAAUUGGACAAAUCAUCGGAAUGAUUGUAGCACAAGAUUAAAUAUAAUUUAUCUUG